RNAcentral lists this ribosomal RNA (211 nucleotides) under uncultured bacterium. RNAcentral's name for it is "partial 16S ribosomal RNA". The record is from RNAcentral.
ACUAUUGUCACGGGUUACCGCGGCUGCUGGCACGGAGUUAGCCGGUGCUUCUUCUUGUGAGUGAUGUCCUUCCUGCCGGUUAUUGACCCGCAGGCCUUCUUCCUCACUGAAAGUGCUUUACAACCCGGAAGGCCUUCUUCACACACGCGGCAUGGGCUGGAUCAGGGUUGCCCCCAUUGUCCAAUAUUCCCCACUGCUGCCUCCCGUAGGA